AGAGACUGCCUGAUGCCUGGUGACAGAAGGAGUGACUCACAGGUGACUCACAGAAAUAAACAGAAAUGGCAUCUCAUCUGGGAGGCGCUAAGACUGGCUGAACUACAACUACUUGGAUUUGCUUAAGUGUCUUUAAGCUUCUGCUGAGAACUGAAUAACAGAGAUGGACACUGAAGAACACAUCUACCUUGUCUUCUACUGGUUACCCACUAAGGCACAAAGGCUGGACUCAGCACAACACAAUCAAAUAAGUUGAGAACUUUGCAUCUUAUUUAAUUUGCUCCUUAAUCAACCAAAUGUUAGUAGAAACAUUUGUUUCUGAAGAAGUUGAGAAGUGAAAAACCUUACCUGCAAGAUGGUUCCUGCAUAUUGAUAGAAUGUUCGCACUUCCCAUGCAUGCAGAAGCCAUUGUAGUGCUCUGGACAAGGCAGAGAGAAAGAGAUCUCCUGUUCACUGGUUCAUACCCAAAAUGCCUGCAACAGCUGAAGAUAGGAGCCAGAAAUUCAAUCUUGGUCUCCCAGAUUUCUGCCCAAAUACAUGAGAAAUAGAAGUUUCUUGAACUCAACCUAAAGACACUAUUCAGUUCUACGGCAAAUGGUCAGCAGUAAUGGAAGAUUCUUUGAUGGUUACUGAUCCUUCAUUUGCUUUGUAUUUCUACAUUGAUAAGGACCAAUAAAUUGAACAAACUGCUUCCGUGGAGAAGACAAGGAA
Non-coding RNA from Oryctolagus cuniculus (rabbit), 711 nucleotides. Lineage: Eukaryota; Metazoa; Chordata; Mammalia; Lagomorpha; Leporidae. The record is from RefSeq and is a predicted model, not a curated record.